This 465-nucleotide ribosomal RNA is filed under the name uncultured bacterium. RNAcentral describes it as "partial 16S ribosomal RNA". It matches the Rfam family "Bacterial small subunit ribosomal RNA", at positions 28 to 507 of the family's 1533-position model. The record is from RNAcentral.
GACGAACGCUGGCGGCGUGCUUAACACAUGCCAGUCGAACGGAAAGGCCCUGCUUGCCGGGUACUCGAGUGGCGAACGGGUGAGUAACACGUGGGUGAUCUGCCCUGCACUUCGGGAUAAGCCUGGGAAACUGGGUCUAAUACCGGAUAGGAGCCAUUUUUAGUGUGAUGGUUGGAAAGUUUUUUCGGUGUAGGAUGAGCUCGCGGCCUAUCAGCUUGUUGGUGGGGUAAUGGCCUACCAAGGCGGCGACGGGUAGCCGGCCUGAGGGGGUGGACGGCCACAUUGGGACUGAGAGACGGCCCAGACUCCGACGGGAGGCAGCAGUGGGGAAGAUUGCACAAUGGGCGCAAGCCUGAUGCAGCGACGCCGCGUGGGGGAUGACGGCCUUCGGGUUGUAAACUCCUUUCGCUAGGGACGAAGCUUUUUGUGACGGUACCUAGAUAAGAAGCACCGGCUAACUACGUG